Molecule: long non-coding RNA, 7424 nt
Organism: Peromyscus leucopus (white-footed mouse)
Lineage: Eukaryota; Metazoa; Chordata; Mammalia; Rodentia; Cricetidae
Exons: 3
Source: RefSeq, a predicted model, not a curated record
UGCAGGCUAGAGGUCAAUGUCAGAUGUCUUCCAGAAUCAUUGUCCCCCUUAUUUUUUGAUACAGGGUCUCUUGCUAAAACUGGAGGUCUCCAAUUGACUGGCUGGCCAGUGAGCUUGUGCUUAUCUCUACCGCUGUGGUUCUGGGAUUGCAGGUGUGUACACACCUGGCCUUUUUACACUUAACCCAGGUCCUCAUGCUUGUGUAGCAAGAGCCGUCUCUUCCCCAACUCUUCUUCCUCCCACUUUUUAAUCAAUAAUGUCAGAUCAUGCCAUAGGGAGCUGCAAGGCUGACCACAGAUAGAUUACGAGAAGGGCUGUUUGAUAUCAGUACCCUCAGGGAGCCCCACCCUAGUCUAUGCUAAUGUAGGAUGCGUGUGGUACCUGGUAUGGGUUCACUGAACCCUCGGGUGGGCCAGGGGUGGUAUGUGUGGGCCAGGAGCUAUGAACCCAAUGCCAACCCUGCUGUGCGGUACUUGAAGAAAAGCCAUGAGGUAAAUUUACCAUGGGUGUGACUGGUGUUUUAUGGUCCAUAUCUUUACAGUGAAGAACUCCAUCCUGGAGGACCUCCUGAUUGGGUAGCUCUAACCCAAGCAGGGGUAUUGGUGCCCGCAGUACUCCUGGUGAGUGAUAGGUACUUUAGCCCAACAUCAAGCCCACAUCUGUCAAUAACUUUGUCUCUGCUCACCGCCAUGUCUGUUGUUCAAUUUUGCUUGUCUUUUGAGGAUUAAACCCAUUGACUGCUUCCCAACACAAGUUCCUGCCUAGGACAUGUCUUCCAGAUGUGACAUCUUCCUAGGGGAAGGACACUGGAGUCACCGUCGGUGGAAAAGGUAUGAAUGACAAAGUGUUUUGUCUAAAAGCAUACAUUUUAUUUUAUUUAUAUGUGUGUACUGCUCUACUAAUGCUGAGUAUGCAUUCCAUACCUAGGAGGAAUUCCUGAUGCAUCCUACCCCUGGGGGUGAAGGUGGCUUCCUUGGCCCCUCCCCCCAGCUCCUAGCAAGCGGUUCUCAUGGCCACGGCAGAGACACAAAAGUAAGUAAGAACCAUCAGACUGAGACUGGGACUGUUGUGCUUUAGCUCAUGUUUCAUGGGCCAAGCCAAUGAAGGGUGGGGAGGUGCCCUGCACCUGUGAGGUCAUGGUAGUACAUGUGCAGGCAUGGGCAACCAACCAUCUACCUGGAACACCCAAGAAGUCUAGCUUUAUUCAUGUUCUUUCAUAGAUCAGUGUUCCAUUUCCAUUUCCCCCUGGGAAGCUAAGGCUCAAUGUAAUCUGUUCUCUGAAACCCCAUGUUAUUUACAUAUAGUUUUGUCCAGGAAACAUUACCUGGUUCUGACAAAGGCACAGAUACCUUUUUGGUUCCCAUCUCGUGAAGAUUUCCUUGGCUUGGGACUCCCCUAUGGUACACAGGUUGCUAUCCACUUCUCUAGUGGGCAGGUGGUGACCUUAACUGGGAGGUCAUGGGAUGCUCCUCCAGUCUUAUCCACGGAUCCACAGCCAGACUUUGGGAAGCCAAGUCAAUAUUGUAUCAUCUUUCUCCAAUAUUUGAGGAGACUCCAAAGAACCCCCAAAUGAUGACUAAGCCAAAGGCGGCCUACAAGAUCCCCAUUCUGCCUGCGUGGAGCGGGCACAGCUGUGAGAGCCCCCUAGGUACAGCGGGGCUGCAGCGUGAUCGCCUGCUCACGCACAGGAAGUGACGGCAAACAUUACGCAAACUGCAGGGUUCCAUGCUGCUGACAUACGGUGCUUAAUGAGAAGUUGCCCGUGUUUUUUUCGCUUUAUAUGUGACGAAACAUUCGCGGUGCACUUCUUUUUCAGCAUCCUAUUCUACAUUGAAGACUUCGGGGUUCAUCCGCUAACUUCAGGGAAGCCAUGUUAGUCUAUGUAGUGGGGCUGGGUUGAGGGUUUAUCUCCCUUCUUGAACAGUUUCCUGAGCUUUCUUAGCAAGAAUGGGUUAGGGUUGGUUGGACCCUCCCACCUCCUCCGUAGCUCAACUUUAAAGGAAUCUGUUGAUUCCUUUCCUUUCAGCUGCUAUUGAUUGAGAGAUGAGACCUUAGCCCACAGGGCUGAUGAGAUACAAGGAGGUAUUUGUUGAGGCUUCUGGGAGAGGGAGUAGUUCUUCAUUUCUUUGAGAGAUGCCCGAGGACCCCCAUGUUCCCUUCAGCCACUUGAUGUGGUAAUGAAUGUGAGCUUGAAAGCCAGCUAGAAUCCAAGAGGUCAGUACCCAGGGCUCUGUAGAUGCAGAGGGAAAGGCCUGUAUCCCGGGGGACAGAUUGGAGAGGCAGAAAGGAGCCAAGAAACAUCUGGGUAACAGAGUUCAACCUGGGACCUGCGUCAAAACUCAACAUGUCUCUAUACCUUUAAGUUGUAUGAGCCUGGACACCUCCUUUUUGUGUAAGUUGCCUUGAAUUUUACCUUACUGUGAGAGAAAUGGGUGACUCUUUGUUGAGUUACCAAUGCGUGUAAUUGGCACUCUUUGGAUGAUACGUUCUCUUUGCUUGGCUAUCCCUGUUGUCCUGUGUAAGGUAGGUUGGUGGUACAAGGUCACUUUCUUUUGUGGAGUUCUUGGCUGCACUUCAGGUAUAUUACUGUCUUAGUGCUUUAACUUUGCAAUGACACUAACACGCACUAAUGUGUUUUGUUUUCAGGGAAGGAUCACGUAGCCUCUUCAGGAGACCAGCAGGGUGAUGGACAGGCUUUACCUUCCCAGACUUCCCACCCUCAGAAUCCUGCACGCUGCCAUUCCUACCUCAUCCCUGGGCUUCAGAGUUCUCCAUAAGGUGUUUGCCGUGUUUGUCAAGUCACAAGCCGCUGCUGUACAGGGGUGACACUUGCCUGCAGGGCGACCAGAGAGGGGGACAUCUCAGUGGGGAGACCCAGGAAUCAGAACUGCAACAGGCAAGCCCAGCUGGUGUAUGCUGCCCUGGAUGUCAUUACCCAGUCCUGUGUCCUUUCUUCCUCAGCUCUAGAAAGGGACCCUGGAACUCAGGAAGGAGAGUCUGUGUUGGAGUUGGCCACCCUCCCAUCGCGCCUGAGUGACACUCUCCAGGGACACUGACAAGGGUAGAAGCCAACGUUCCAGAAUCCUCAACCUUGAUGAUCAAAUUCUACCCGCCAAGACUUCCUGGGAUCCUAAGGUAGAGGGGAUCUGGGUUGGAUUGCUCUGGGCAUGAUGAGCACUGUGCCAUCUGCCUCUGCUCAGGACCCACCUCACCCUGCCCCAGUCUAGCCUUGCCCACCACCCCUCCUGCCUGCCCCUCAGCAUCCCUUCACACCCAGGCACACUGCUGGAGCAAGCAAGAGCUCAUCUGUGGUACCUGAAAAGAAGUCGCCCGUGUUAUUUUCGCUUUUAUUUGUGACGAAACAAACAUGGUGCACUUCUUUUUCGAUAUCAAACGUCACCUUGGAGAGCUCCCCAGGGGCCAGUGGGAGGGGCCAGGGCUCCUAGGCUCACUUGGUACUUUUCUCCAUGUGCCCCGGAGCAUUCGCCCCAAAGAAACACACCCCACCACCACUCACUCCCAUCCUCACCCUCACCCUCACCUUCACCCUCACCCCAUUGGCUCUGUGUGUUGCUGGGUUCAGGGACACUUGGUGUCUGUCUGCCCCAACUCCUGGGACAGGCAGAGUUGGUAAGGGGAGGCAGGAAGCACACCUCUAGACUCUCUUGUGGGACUGAGGUCAGAUAAGGGAAGCUCAGAAAAACGGUCGAACACAUCCAAUCACAGACGGUUUACAUAACCCAACCACCAGCACAAGUCAGCCACCAGCGCCCUCCGGAGCUGACAAGUGCCUGGGUGUCAGCUCCAGGGGUCUACACCAAGACCUGUCACCUGUUGAGUGUCCUACACACUGUCACUCUAGAAGAGCCUGGGCCCCCAGCACAGCCCUGCUCCCGCUUCCUGUCCUGUCCCCAUGGGCUGUGGUCUUUGAUACCAUCAGCAAGGUCUUGAGGACUGUGGGUUCUGGCUAUGAUCGGGACCAGGGGACAGCAAGCCAUCACCAGCCACUGCUGUCUGUCUCUAGUCCCCGACGUGAGUCCCCCCCCCCCCCCCCCGUGAGCUGUCCUCUGGAGCGGGUGUGAGGCUCUCUUGAAGACAGCUUUUUUCCCCAGUGGAUUCAUCUUCUUUAUGGCUACUGUUCUCAGGUAGCCUCUCCUCCUGGUAUCAGAUUUGCCUCUGAGCGUGGCUGUUUGGGUGCGGACCCUUGGCGGCUCUCUUAUGUGAGUAGAGAAAGGGAUACUAUCCAGAGUGUUUGUGUGGGAACACCUCAUCCACCCACCUCCCCUGGGGUGGAGGGCGGUUCUUGAAGCUAUGUCAGCAGGAGUAAGGGUUGUGGGAUCGCUCUUGGGCCACACUUUGCUAACAUACAAUCCAUUCCUGUUGCUUUGCUUAAUUUAUAGCCAAAGCUUUUGGUACACUUACAUAUAGCUGCUGUCAUAAUUCAUCAUCAAAACCCAGCACUGACUUCAUCACAGAGAUAUCACUAUAUCAACCACACACUUAACUCUUGGGUCAUACUGGCUCAGUGAUGCCUUUACAACCUGCUAUGGCCCUAAGUGUCCUUUGGGCUCUGUCCUGAUGGAAAUACCUUUGGAAAAGCAACAACUCUCCCUUUAUGUCCAUGGAGAAAGGCUACAGGGCAUGGAGCAGGCAUGGUCAGCCCAUUUUCCUAGGUUGAAAGUCCCUUUCCACCUAGUGGAUACUGGCCUCGGUGCUGGUGGAGCAGUGAGCACGCCAUACAUUAUAUGUGUGACACCUGCCACCCAGCCCAAGGCCCCUAGGCCCACAUGCUUCUGGAGAGGGGUCUGACUUGUAUGCACCCAAAGAAUGCAGAGACUUGCCCAGCAGUGCCUCUGUUUGGCACCUAAGGUAACCUGACUUCCUGAGUCCCUUUCACAGCCAGCCUUGUGCUCUCCUGGCAGACCUCUGGAUGCUGUCAUUCAUCCCUCCAGCCCAGGUACGUGUAGGCCUGGAGGGAGCCUUGAGGGUAGAAUGUUCCCUGGGCACAAAUCUCACCCCCUGUCUCUUUCACAGAGACGCCUGGGCAGGACUGCGGCAGCUGGCCCAAGAGAGGCCCCAAGGGAUGGCGUCCACCUCAAGGUGUUUGUUCAUGGAAGAUCUUAAACGUUGACCUCUCUUGAGCACAAAAUCUUUUCUUGACGAUCUUUCUGCAGCCAGUGUCAAGCUCAGAAAUAUGAUCAGCCCCUUGCUGAUGGUUCCCAAAGAUCUGAACAAAUAGACAAGCACAAAUAUAUACUGAAAAACACAGUACCGAGCACAUGAUGAAGGGCCUCGUGACUUCAUGCAGGGAAGCAGGGAAGCAGCUUUGGUCUGCUGGUAAGUGAUAGACACUUGUCCAUGUGACUAGCUUUAAGGAGUUUGUGAGGAAUCAUGUUUUCUUCUGUAGCAAGCUACAGAUUCAAGGGAAGGGUCUUGGCUCUUGGUAACUGUCAGGCAUCAUCUGUCCCUCUUGCCUUUGGUGACCCAUCUUUGGGGAACCCGUGACCUCUUUACUUUUGUGAGCAGCAACUGUUUUCAACUUACCAGAUUUUGAAGCCAGUUCUUUGGACAGAUAUUGGAGGGCUGGUCAUAGAAUACAUGUUGCAUGUGUGGGGAAUGUCACCUGGUCCAUUUGUUCUCAGCAUUAAGGAUAUGUUGAAGAAGGUUCUGGGGUGACUGGCUGAGUUGGGGUUCUCAGUGCUUCCUGUUUGCUUCGUGGAGGCAUGUUUUUUUUUAAUCAAAGAUUUGCAGUGUCUAUGUUGGUAUGCCUCUGUGUCUGAUCUACUCAAAGAAGAUUUUCCAGGAAGUUGAGCUAAUGUUGAUAGGACUUGAUAAUGUGGUGAUCAUGAGUCAUGAACAUGAAGAUAUCCUUCGUGUCUGUUUCUAACAGUCUGUCCCACUGAUGUACUGGACCUGUGUGUUGGAGCCUUCUGGACUCGUCCUGCUUCCCAAAAACUUCCUUGAUGUCUUCAAUGUUCCAUGGCAUGUGCAUGGAUGCUCCAGCAGACACUUUGCUGUGACCUUUGCCAUGGGUAGCCAAGAUGGGCUCUAUAUGGAAGUAGAACUGUCUUUGGGAAUCAUGAGGGGAAAAACUCCUUGUCAUGAACUCUUGGGGUUGGGGGUGCUUAGAGUGACUCUCUGAUAGGGCAUGUGACAACCAGGUGAUAUAUUUAGCUAUGAGGUGGGCACUAGGAGUCCAGAUUCUCUUCUGUUGUUAAUGUAGUCAUCUAGGCCAGGGUUCUCCAGAGCUGUUCAGCUUCUGAUAUUCAAAAGGUGAGUGUUCCUUCUAUGCCUCAGGUUAAUCAUAGAGGUAACACCCACAUUUUCAGUAUCUCAAGUUGCCCUGGAAUGUUUCUAAAUGCAAAGUGGCCCAGGGAAAAAGCGAGUUAUCUCCUCUUCCCCCACCCAGGGAUCGAGGGGGGAGAUGGAUCCCACAACCUGUGCUUUCCACAGCAAGGUUGAUCCUGGAAUCUGUCCUCUGUGGGCUGUGCCAAGGGCGCCUGUCAGCUGUCUUCUUCAUUUCUGACCGAUUGGGCCUCGGCUCUUGCUCUUCGGGACUAAACCCUUUUGGUAUUUAAAAGGUGGAUAUUCCUUCUAUGUUUAUGGUAUUUAUGAUUAAACAUAGAGGAAAUUUCACGUUUUCAGUGUCAAAUGCUGCUGGGAAAUGGGCCUGAACUGAAGUCACCAUCAGGGCAGUGACAGUACAGUUGGCCCCUCCAGGGUAAGUGGGAAGCUGGCGAUCCACAGAGCAUGCGCCAGACUCGUAGGUGCCUGAGGGCCAUUGACCAGUCUUGAAGAGAAUCUCUGAUGAGCUGCUGGCUCAGCCGGAGGCCGGGGGUCUCAUUCUGGACUCUAUGACAGCAUAUCAGUCUUUCCCAUAGUAUGCCCUUUGCUUCAGAUAGGUUGUUCUUAGGUCGCGCUUUCCAAGAGUAAGCCCUGUUUGGUAUGUAAAAGGCAGAUUUUCCUUUUGUGGUUGUGUGCUUGCUGGUUAGUCAGAGAGGGGACAUCCAUGUUUUCAGUCUCACGUGCCUCUCGGGAGCCAUGAUCCACCAGGGAAACAAGGCUGGGCUCAGCACCCUCCGGGUAAGUGGAAAGGUGGUGGACUGCAGACCAUGUGUGUUUCUCAUAUCAUAUGUCUGCUGGCCAUCACCUUUAAGGGUCUCCUUGCCUGUGGAGCCAGCCUGACAAAGAGGCGAUGUUGCCUCACUACAGUGACGUCUGGGCGCGGGAAUGAGAGCCUUUCUGUCUUGUGAUCUGUUUCAGAGAAGCCCAUGCACCACAGCUGGUCCUUCCCGGAACUCAGCAUUUCUUUGGUAUUUAAAAGGUGGAUAUUCCUUCUAUGGUUACGUGCUUCCUGGAUAAUCAUAGAGGAACAUCCACUUUUUCAGUAUCAAAUGUCGCUAUGGAACUAUUUCUGGAAGAUU